GAGGGUAUAGCUCAGAGGCAGAGCACAUGCUUAGCAUGCAUGAGGUCCUGGGUUCAAUCCCCAGUACCUCCA
Molecule: transfer RNA, 72 nt
Filed under: Camelus bactrianus (Bactrian camel)
Lineage: Eukaryota; Metazoa; Chordata; Mammalia; Artiodactyla; Camelidae
Also listed under: 1 other name
Rfam family: tRNA
About the family: Transfer RNA (tRNA) molecules are approximately 80 nucleotides in length. Their secondary structure includes four short double-helical elements and three loops (D, anti-codon, and T loops). Further hydrogen bonds mediate the characteristic L-shaped molecular structure. tRNAs have two regions of fundamental functional importance: the anti-codon, which is responsible for specific mRNA codon recognition, and the 3' end, to which the tRNAs corresponding amino acid is attached (by aminoacyl-tRNA synthetases). tRNAs cope with the degeneracy of the genetic code in two manners: having more than one tRNA (with a specific anti-codon) for a particular amino acid; and 'wobble' base-pairing, i.e. permitting non-standard base-pairing at the 3rd anti-codon position.
Source: Rfam by way of RNAcentral